RNAcentral lists this ribosomal RNA (408 nucleotides) under uncultured bacterium. RNAcentral describes it as "partial 16S ribosomal RNA". It matches the Rfam family "Bacterial small subunit ribosomal RNA", at positions 29 to 526 of the family's 1533-position model. The record is from RNAcentral.
AGUGAACGCUGGCGGCGUGCCUAAUACAUGCAAGUCGAACGGAGUGGCGCACGGGUGAGUAAUGUAUAGCUAAUCUGCCCUCCACUAGAGGACAACAGUUGGAAACGGCUGCUAAUACUCUAUAGUGUAGGUGGAGGCUUUAUUUUAUCAGCUAGUUGGUGAGGUAAUGGCUCCCCAAGGCUAUGACGCAUAACUGGUCUGAGAGGAUGGUCAGUCACACUUUAACUGAGACACGUUCCGGACUCCUACCGGAUGCAGCAGUAGGGAAUAUUGCUCAAUGGGGGAAACCCUGAAGCAGCAACGCCGCGUGGAGGAUUACCCUUUUCGGAGCGUAAACUCCUUUUGUUAGGGAAGCGGUACCUAACGAAUAAGCACCGGCUAACUCCGUGCCAGCCGCCGCGGUAAUUC